UCCCUCAUAGCUUAGUUGGUAAAGAAUCUGUCUGCAAUGCAGGAAGCCCCGGUUCUAUUCCUGGGUUGGGAA
This 72-nucleotide transfer RNA is filed under the name Bos taurus (domestic cattle). It matches the Rfam family "tRNA". Rfam says of the family: Transfer RNA (tRNA) molecules are approximately 80 nucleotides in length. Their secondary structure includes four short double-helical elements and three loops (D, anti-codon, and T loops). The record is from Rfam by way of RNAcentral. RNAcentral also lists the same sequence under 2 other names. Lineage: Eukaryota; Metazoa; Chordata; Mammalia; Artiodactyla; Bovidae.